AAUCUCCAUCCACCUGGCUAUAUAGCUGUCCUCACACCAAUUAAUUAGUGGUCGAAGUUGGGCUGCAUAGAAAUAUAUCCUAAAAUUUGGAUGUGCCAUUCCACCUUUGUCCUUUGGCAACUGGAGUGUAGUGCACCGCAUUCUCGCAAUCCUGGG
Amblyraja radiata (thorny skate) is the source of this 156-nucleotide long non-coding RNA. RefSeq lists it as uncharacterized. The record is from RefSeq and is a predicted model, not a curated record. Lineage: Eukaryota; Metazoa; Chordata; Chondrichthyes; Rajiformes; Rajidae. The transcript is spliced from 4 exons.